Molecule: long non-coding RNA, 1357 nt
Filed under: Phasianus colchicus (ring-necked pheasant)
Lineage: Eukaryota; Metazoa; Chordata; Aves; Galliformes; Phasianidae
Description: lncRNA (ENSPCLG00000006977.1)
Source: RNAcentral
GCAGUCUCCUCUCUGCCUAGAAAAUAGUUAUCCUGCUGUCAUAAAUAAACAGGACGGACCAGGAAUGAGUAAGGUGCCUGGGAGGAUUUCUGGGAGCCAGAGGCCAGGGCCUUUCUGCUGCACAGGAGAAGGAUGGCCACGUUUCAUUCCAAACCUGGCCUUCACAAAGGAGAGAUGAGGCUCUCCACUCCUUCAGGUUGGAUAUUAGGAAAAAAAUUCUUCUCAGAAAGACUGGUGGGGCAUUGGAACAGGCUGCCCAGGGAGGUGGUGCAGUCACCGUCCCUGGAGGUGUUCAAGAACCACGUGGAUGUGGCACUGAGGGACGUGGGCAGUGUGCAUGGUGUGAUGGGCUGCUGCUUGAACUGGGUGAUCUUAGAUGUCUUUUCCAACCUUAAUGAUUCUAUGACUCUAUGAUUCACCUCCACUGCUCACACAGAGCAGCAGAGACCCAGCCCAUGCUCACAGUGAUUUCCCCACUCCAGACCCCCUAACACAGCCUCAAUGGAGGCAGAGGCAGAGACACAGCAGCAGGGAGUCUGCAUGCCCUCACCCAACACUGCUCCUCCUGCCUGCGUUGCCUGUCUCAUAACUCACUAUCCUUUCCUUUUCCCCAGCUUGUCUCUCCAUGGCCCAAAUGGUCGGGAUGUGUGGGCAAGGGGCUCUCCUGUGUCUUUGAGGUGAAACCACAGCACAUCUGAAAUCCAGCACCAUGUGCUUGAAAGCCCAGACUUCCUUCCCUGUAGCCUCUCAGGGCCUGGAGACUGCUGCCCAGUUCCUGCAGCACAUUCUGAAGCUUACAGUGUUUGGAUGUUCCAGCACCUGAGAAGACAAAAUAAAACCUGAUUCUGCCUCAAAACUGAGAAGAGCUGGGACGAGAGGAGCAGCAAAAUCCCAGGAGUACUUUCAGGACAGCGGAACCAUGGAAGUCAGUAAGUGUGAAAGGAAGAGGUGCAAUGUUAUUUCAAGACUUGGACAGGUGUCUGUUUAUCAGACAGGCUGCCGUGGCCCAGACCCACCCCUGCACGGUGUGCUCUUAUCAUACUUUGCAUCAUAUUUGUCCCCCUGGGAUUGCCCCACCAUUAAACUAAAGCCUUCAGCUCCACGCAACUGCAUAUUCACGCGAAUGACUUCCAGCUGUGAGCAGGAUCACCUGCUCAUACUGUGGUUGCACGACAUAUACCAGCUGCUGUGUGCAUAUCCCGGAGCGGGGAGAGGGCGUUCGUGUUUCAACAGUGUUCAGGGUUGACUGUGCCUCUGAAUUAAAUACUUCCUCCCUUCUAUUGAAACCAGACCUCUUGCACCUUCAGUUCUUCAACAAUCAAAAAUAAAAAGGGGGCUGGAAGCGUUUUUACUGACA